GUAGGUGGCAAGCGUUGUCCGGGAAUUAUUGGGGCGUAAAGCGCGCGCAGGCGGUUCUUUAAGUCUGAUGUGAAAGCCCACGGGCUCAACCGUGGAGGGUCAUUGGAAACUGGAGAACUUGAGUACAGAAGAGGAAAGCGGAAUUCCACGUGUAGCGGUGAAAUGCGUAGAGAUGUGGAGGAACACCAGUGGCGGAGGCGGCUUUCUGGUCUGUAACUGACGCUGAGGCGCGAAAGCGUGGGGAGCAAACAGGAUUAGAUACCCUGGUAGUCCACGCCGUAAACGAUGAGUGCUAAGUGUUAGGGGGUUUCCGCCCCUUAGUGCUGCAGCUAACGCAUUAAGCACUCCGCCUGGGGAGUACGGCCGCAAAGGCUGA
RNAcentral lists this ribosomal RNA (376 nucleotides) under uncultured organism. Its description in RNAcentral is "partial 16S ribosomal RNA". It matches the Rfam family "Bacterial small subunit ribosomal RNA", at positions 527 to 897 of the family's 1533-position model. The record is from RNAcentral.